Molecule: non-coding RNA, 27 nt
Filed under: Cricetulus griseus (Chinese hamster)
Lineage: Eukaryota; Metazoa; Chordata; Mammalia; Rodentia; Cricetidae
Source: RNAcentral
GGUGCCCUGAGAUAAGACUGGAGAUGA